AGAGGCUGCGGCGCGUGGCCUGAGGCGGAGAGCCGGGCUGCGGGGGUCCGGGCCAGGCCAGGCGCCGGCCUGACCCGCCUCGCCGGCAAGAGCAGGCCGGGCUUCCUCCUCCCUUGGCGGGCGGGGGAGGGAAAGGGGGAUCCUGGCCGGGGGUAAGGGGGAAAGGUGGUCCUGAUUCUCCCUGUGCCACCGCCACAAAGCUGAUCCUGGCCUCCUGCGGAGAAGCCUGAGCGCCUUCCCGCAGACCUGACGCGACCCCCUCCCAGGUACCUGGGCCUCGGCCUGGUCUAGCGAGUCCCCUUCCUCCCAAGGAGCAGCCGGCGGAGCUCGGGUGGAGGAAAGCGAGGAGGCGACCAGGAGGAUGCCGCCGCCGCCGCCGCAGGGCCCGGGGCUUCUGCAGGGCGCAAGGCCUCCCUCACCAGGGUAAGGGGCUGGCGAUCAACCUGGACGCCUGGGACCUUGGGAGCAAGCAUCCCGCAGCCGAGCAGGCGACGGCGCGGCCACCGCCUAGAGAGGAGCCGGGGCCCGGGGCGGCGUGCGGGUCGGCAGCAGCCGGCUUGGCCUAUCCGAAACCCCAGGCCUGGAAGCGGCUGCUUUAGGCGUCAAGUUGAGCGGGGUAUGUGUGUCCUCUUGGGAAAAAGGUGAGAAAUGGAGCCGGACUUUCUCCACUCGGUAGGGGUUAAGCUACCACACACACCCCCAAACACAUGCCCACGUGCAAGUCCCUCCCACCCGCCCUCCCAGGGGCGAAGAGACCCUGUCCCAGUGGAAGUGGGGAAACCCAGUCGGGUACAGAAAGCAGAGGCCAUGGCGCAGAGCGGAGGCGCGGCUUUCUGGGGCUCAGCCCUAGGGCUACAGACCCAGGGCGCGGAGAUGCUCGCGGCCGGGCCACCCACCAGAGCCAGGCAACCGGCGCUUCCAGGCGAGCUCCGCGGGGCCGAGGUGCCGGGAGAAGCGGCCCCGGGCGCCCGCGCGCUGCCCGACCUGGGUAACAGGCAAAGCGGAGCCCCGGGGUCGAAGUCCUAAAGUUACUAAUCCCGCGGAGGGGGAGAGAGCGUGCCUCGGGCCGCCCGGGGCGGUCAUUUGAGCGUGUUUACUUAAAGACUUUGCAAGCAGAGCGCGCGCGAAAUCGUCGGAUUUCCAGCGAGGCAGCAAAUAUUUGCAGGCAGAAGAAAGAAGCGGAGCCGAGCCGAGCCGCCGAGUCCCUCCCCCCGGAGCCCCGGAGCCCCGGCGCCUGCCUGGGCGGUCCCGGCCGCGCAGACAGAAAAGAAGCCGGGAAUCUGCGGGGCUGGGGGGCGGGGAGCGACACCAAAGGCCAGAAACUGCAGCACGGCCCGAGGCCCUGGCGAGCUGGGCCUGGGGGAGGAGAAGUCCCUUCCCAUUCCAGCUCGAUCAAUCUUGCUGGGCUGCGAUCGGUCAAUAAAAACGGUGUGAAGCGGCCGCUGUCGCUGUGAGUCUGGGGAGGAAGUGGAGGCCAAAGGUGUCGAGGCCGGCGCCAGUACCCCGCACCAGCCGGGUCCGCGGCCCCGCGGUCUGCACGUCGCAGGCCGGGGGCCAGAGCUUUGCCGGCAGCCGAGAGCGGCCCGGCGGGGCCUUUAAUUGGGUGUCUCCAUUUUAAUAGAGGCCAUUGUUGGAGCAAUUAGAGAAAGACAAUAACCGCCCAGAGACGUUUAAUUCGAUUCCCUGCGCCCGCCGCAGUACGCACCGGGGCGCUCUGGAAGAGUGGCCGAGGCUGCGCGGAAGGGAGGGUCCGCUUGGGGAGGCGCCGGCUUCUUUCCUUGCUUGCUUUGCCUUCGGUGUGGGAAUUGUAAAGGGCGACUGGGGCAAGAUGAAAGCGGGGCGAGGGCGACCUGAGCCAGGCCAGGGCCGGCCUCUCUAGCCCACGCCGGGCGCCCGCGGGACCGCCGCGCCUUUCGCGGCGCGCGUCCAGCUGUGGCCGCCGCGGAGGUCCCCAGCGCCUGUUCAAAGGAGAGAAGCCGGAGGACCGGGCCGUGAAAACUGGCCUCCUUCCUCCUUAGCCCCGGGUCCCCAUUUCUGUCACCCGAACCAUGUCCAUAUUUCCUUCCCUAUGGUGGGAGGAGGGGCAAAGGAGAGAUCCCGGGUAUUGGAGCGCGCACACCUCCGUCUCCAACCCAGCCAGCCUCACCGCCCCCUCCUCCGCCUCGGCCCCUGGAUUAGGUUACCCUGGCCGCGCAAGGGUUUCUACUGGAUAGGACUAUAGCACAGGUAAAGCUGUAUAAACAGCUCGCCGGCUGCCGGGCGGGAGGGUUAUGCCGGGGACACGGCUCCAGGCGCCGCCGCUGGCCCCGGCUGCGCGGGCCACACCGCGGGGAGCCCGCUGCGGCAGGGCGCCCCGGACCGCGCAGGUUAAAUACAUAUUAUCUCUGUCUCUGCCACUCGGGCCCCCGUUUUCUUUCCCUUGCGAGCUGAAAUGCGGAGAGCGGGGAGCAAGACCUAAACGGGAAGAAAAGGCAGUCGGGCAGUGGGCAAUACUGGUUGAGGAUCCCGGCCCAGCAAGGCUGGCUCUCUUCAAACAAAACCCAGAGAGCAGGGAACUUGGGGGAAAGCAGAGAAAGAGGGACCCUAAAACUCACUGGCAAUGGGAAGAUGAUGGAGGCGGGUGCGUCCAAGGGGCAACUCUCCUCGCGGCUCCCACGCCCACGCGCCCCGGGCCAGGAGUCUACCUUCCCCGUGAAAUGAGCUAUCGUUUUGGGGAUGGUAUGUGAUUUGAUUUACCCUUUUUUCUUUUCCUUCCUUUAGUUCUUUUUUCUUUUUCUUUUUUCUUUUUUUUUCUGUUUGUUUGUUUGUUUUGCUUAUUCAUCGAUCACCGUUUAAAACUCGGAAGGAAACCCGCCCAGGCCAGGAGAGCCGCGAGCCGUGGGGAGAGUCAAAAAAGAGGAGAUGCGCUGGGAGAUUCCCCCCGCCCCCGCACUCCGCCCCCAGCCCGGCCCCGGCCUCCACUUCGAGGGAUCCUGACCCUCCCACCGCCACUACCACCUUUUCCCCGGUUGAGAAAACCCCUGAUUGUAGCGAGAUAAAAAUUGGGUAGGUAGGGGUGCAGCGGAAAGGGGGAGACAGGAAGGGAGAGGGCAGGGGAUUUCUGCUUUCGGGUUUAACAACUCACACGUGAGGCGAGUGGCAGUUGGGGGGAGCCCCGGGUUGGGUGGGAGAGAAGGAACUCGCCUUGAGGGUGAGUGGAAAGGAAUUGGAGUCACCCUGGAGGAAAAGUGCCCUUUUCAGCUCUCUCCCUCCCUCCUGGCCUUGGCAGGUGGGGGGACAGGUGGGUGCCACGGGAGGAAAAGAAGGGGUGGAGGCAGCCCAGCCGGCGUCCCUGGGUCUCCCGGGCUUUGGACAUCUUACCCUGCCCCCAGUGGCAUCAGUGACUCCUAGCCAGGGGCUUGCUACUUCUAGACCCGACCUCUCCUCCGUCCCAGGGGGCCGCUCAGCCACACCGCUAUAGCACCCAGGACUCCGGCCCCUGCACCAAGGAAAGGCUCCAGCCUGGCAGAAAUUCACCCAUUUCAAGGCUUGGCCCACCAGGCCUUAGCAUUGCCGGGUGAGGUGGGGUGCACGCGGUGUUCAGUCUGGCCAGUCGGAGUCACCUGCUCCACUCCCCCGGCCUGGUCACCCACAUCCUCACAGCCACCCAGCUCCUGAGCCCCCUGGCCAACCACAGCCCCAACCCCCAGCGCUGGCCUCAGCCGAGUCUCCUCCGUCUGCUUCAGUUUGGCCUUUUAGGAGGAGAAGGAGGGCUUUAUCUGGGGACUAUUGUGUUUUGACUCAUCUAGAUUAGCCUAGGAGCUGGAGUGUGAUUGUAGCGGGACACUCUGGCAGGGGAUGUGUUCACAGCACGGAUAGGAAAAGAGGGGGAGGGGGACUCCAUUCAGAUCUUGGAGACAGUAGAGGCGCGCUUUUAAAAGCACAAACCGUUCUUGUCUUCCUUUGGACAUGCUAGAGACCACCUGGUGAAAAAAAAAAUCCAUGUUUGUGCCCGACUCAGAGGUGCAAAGGAGGAGGUUUGGCAUGCGCACCCUUCUCCCGGCCUCCCUUGGUCCCGGACUGCCCCCUACCCGCAGCCCCUCCCUCCGGGCAGCUCAGCUCUAGGCUGCCUUCCACCUCGCGGACCCUAAGCAAUUUGUUAUAUAAAACAAAACAGCAACCAGACGCAUGUGCCUGUUCUUCACUAACGCCAGCAGACCGGCAGCGACGGAUACCCGGUGGACCUCAGCCGGGACGCCUCGGGCAGCAGCUUCUUGCCCGCUGCCGCACCCACCUCUGCACCCCAGCUCGGGUCAGCCCAGCAGCCAAAGCAAAAGGGGGAUUCCUCAGUUUGCUCCCUUGGAGGCUACAAAGCCUCUCUCUGGUUAUUCCAACCGUUAAGUAAAAAAGAGGUGAUGGGAAAGAUUUGGUCUGCACACAAAGAUAUACCAGGAGAAGAAUGCACAUUUAUGUGUAAAAUGGCUUAGGCACCAAGAAUGAGACAUCACUUCAGUGCAGCCUAGAAAUAGUUAAAAAUAACCGAAUGCUAGAGGACAGAGGUGGUUUUGGGAUCUGCCCCACACUCCUUAUCAGGAUCCCUAAUUCCCUGCCACCUCCUAUGGUUCC
This 4605-nucleotide long non-coding RNA is filed under the name Homo sapiens (human). RNAcentral describes it as "non-protein coding GATA3-AS1:21". Lineage: Eukaryota; Metazoa; Chordata; Mammalia; Primates; Hominidae. The record is from RNAcentral.